This 245-nucleotide ribosomal RNA is filed under the name uncultured bacterium. RNAcentral describes it as "partial 16S ribosomal RNA". It matches the Rfam family "Bacterial small subunit ribosomal RNA", at positions 796 to 1041 of the family's 1533-position model. The record is from RNAcentral.
CACGCCGUAAACGAUGAGUACUAGGUGUAGGGGGUAUCGACCCCCCCUGUGCCGCAGUAAACACAAUAAGUACUCCGCCUGGGAAGUACGAUCGCAAGAUUAAAACUCAAAGGAAUUGACGGGGACCCGCACAAGCAGCGGAGCAUGUGGUUUAAUUCGAAGCAACGCGAAGAACCUUACCUGGACUUGACAUCCCCUGAAUGACUCGUAAUGGAGGAAGCCCUACGGGGCAGGGAGACAGGUGG